This 201-nucleotide small RNA is filed under the name Ureibacillus massiliensis 4400831 = CIP 108448 = CCUG 49529. RNAcentral's name for it is "Lysinibacillus massiliensis 4400831 = CIP 108448 = CCUG 49529 Bacillus sRNA ncr1575". It matches the Rfam family "Bacillus sRNA ncr1575". Lineage: Bacteria; Bacillati; Bacillota; Bacilli; Caryophanales; Caryophanaceae. The record is from Rfam by way of RNAcentral.
CAACUACGAAAUGAAGGGAAGAUGGGUGGACAAUGGACAAAUAAUCUUAUUUUAGUUCUGAGAUAAAUAAAAUGUUUAUUUCAACAAAAUAGGAUUAGUCUGCCCAUUUUCAUUAUAAAUUCAAGUUAUCUGUAAUUAAAGAUAGCUUUUUUAGAGAUGUAAAAAGACUAAUCCUUCCGAAAAAAACGGGAGGAUUUUUUU